GAUGAACGCUGGCGGCGUGCCUAAUACAUGCAAGUCGAGCGAACAGACGAGGAGCUUGCCCCUCUGACGUUAGCGGCGGACGGGUGAGUAACACGUGGAUAACCUACCUAUAAUACUGGGAUAACUUCGGGAAACCGGAGCUAAUACCGGAUAAUAUAUUGAACCGCAUGGUUCAAUAGUGAAAGACGGUUUUGCUGUCACUUAUAGAUGGAUCCGCGGCGCAUUAGCUAGUUGGUAAGGUAACGGCUUACCAAGGCAACGAUGCGUAGCCGACCUGAGAGGGUGAUCGGCCACACUGGAACUGAGACACGGUCCAGACUCCUACGGGAGGCAGCAGUAGGGAAUCUUCCGCAAUGGGCGAAAGCUUGACGGAGCAACGCCGCGUGAGUGAUGAAGGUCUUCGGAUCGUAAAACUCUGUUAUUAGGGAAGAACAAAUGUGUAAGUAACUAUGCACGUCUUGACGGUACCUAAUCAGAAAGCCACGGCUAACUACGUG
This 497-nucleotide ribosomal RNA is filed under the name uncultured bacterium. RNAcentral describes it as "partial 16S ribosomal RNA". It matches the Rfam family "Bacterial small subunit ribosomal RNA", at positions 28 to 507 of the family's 1533-position model. The record is from RNAcentral.